Long non-coding RNA from Ostrea edulis (European flat oyster), 2635 nucleotides. RefSeq lists it as uncharacterized. The transcript is spliced from 2 exons. NCBI's taxonomy places the organism in Eukaryota, Metazoa, Mollusca, Bivalvia, Ostreida, Ostreidae. The record is from RefSeq and is a predicted model, not a curated record.
UCCGAAAGACCCGUGAUUCUCACUUCUGAACGCCGAGCGUUUGGCGAAGGAGCAAUCACUACCUGUUUUUUAAAACGUCUUAGGCGUGAUGUGGCCACGACACGAGCGGGGCUCGAACUCACGACCUCUCGGUUACGAAGCGAACGCUCUACUAUGUUAAAGAUUUAUAGAAAAUCUUGAUCAUAUCAAACUUUGCGCAUGAUAGAAAUAUAUCUUUUGGUGGAAUUUUAUUCAUUGGAUAAAAAUGGGUAAACUAUUGAAAGUGAAAAGGUUUAUAUCCAUGAAUAAUCAAUUAUUUUUAAUUCUUUGAAAAAUAUCUAGGGUAAUAACUCCCAUUGUUGGUAUUUCCUUUAUUGUAGAUGUCUAAUAUACAAUGAUUUCCCUAAUAUCCAGUUAGUUUAUACAAUGUACAUAUUUAUAAAUCAUCAUUUUUUUUAAAGACAUCAAACAUUUUUUCGUUUUAACAAGUUUGUUUCGAUUUUCAUCAUUUUGUUUAAAAUAUGUGAUUUUUUUUAUGUUGACCUAUACUUCUGGGUUGUUGCUGUUUGGUUUUUUGUUGUUGUUGUUAUUUUUGUUUGUUUUGGUGUUUUUUUUGUUUUUUGUUAUUUAUUUUAUUUAUCUAUUAUUUUAUUUUAUAUUUGACAUCUUUAAAAAGGUGGCACCAUACACAUUUCCUUUAGUUAAUGAUUAAAUCAAACUACAUAGAUUGGAAAUUAAUUCAGUUUUUCCACUUCCAACCAUUAACAUUGAUAAGCCACAUGAGGGUGGGACUACCUUAAAAGAAUUUGAAUAAUUAUUGGUACAUCAUUAAGUGCGUGCAAACAAUUUAGCGGCUCAUUUCGUUCAGAAAGCAGGACGAUGUAGAAAGCAUUGAACACUAUCCUCAUAAUCACACAUAUUACAUAAUGACAAGGAAAUGAUUAAAACUUAAGCUUGAUCUGUAAACACACAGUAGUAAACAAAAUACUCUCAAUAGCAUAGUAUAAAGAAAAACGUGUGAAAACCCAAAUGGGACAGUCUGAUUGAUAGACAGAGGAACGGACGGACAGACGGACGGACGACGAGGAACCAAUAAUGACUGUCCCUUUCAGUUUCACCGUGGGGUCCUUCAAUCAAUACAAUUAAUCAAUCAACCAAAGGAUGUUCCAUAACAACAUUGGUGGAAAUUAAUCAUGCAUAUUUUGAGAAGUUAAAAAUGUUCAAAAUCAACGACGACGGAAGGACACACGGAAAUCUCAGCCGAAUAACUCAGAUGACGUGAAAACAGCAUAUUGUGAGAAAUGCCUACCGAAUAACUCAGAUGACGUGAAAACAGCAUAUUGUUGUGAGAAAUCUCACCCGAAUAACUCAGAUGACGUGAAAAGAGCAUAUUGUUGUGAGAAAUCUCACCCGAAUAAUUCAGAUGACGUGAAAACAGCAUAUUGUGAGAAAUGCUUACCGAAUAACUCAGAUGACGUGAAAACAGCAUAUUGUUGUGAGAAAUCUCACCCGAAUAACUCAGAUGACGUGAAAAGAGCAUAUUGUUGUGAGAAAUCUCACCCGAAUAACUCAGAUGACAUGAAAACAGCAUAUUGUGAGAAAUGCUUACCGAAUAACUCAGAUGACGUGAAAACAGCAUAUUGUUGUGAGAAAUCUCACCCGAAUAACUCAGAUGACGUGAAAACAGCAUAUUGUUGUGAGAAAUCUCACCCGAAUAACUCAGAUGACAUGAAAACAGCAUAUUGUGAGAAAUGCUUACCGAAUAACUCAGAUGACGUGAAAAGAGCAUAUUGUUGUGAGACGUGCUUACCGGGCUCCUUUAUUACCGGAUAACGCACUAUUCCUGUGAAACUCCGCGCACUAUUCAACUGAAGCUCUGCAGGGAGUUCAGUAAAUCUACACUUCCAAUUUUCGAGUGUAAAUGAAAACAAAAGAAUUUUUCACUUUAUGGAAACAGGUAUAUUCUUAUCAGAAAUAGAUAAAGGAGAAAAAUCCGCCCAUACGUCAGAGCUUUGAUAUUUUUUAAUAUUUAAAAACCAUCAUACGAAAUUUUUUUAUAGUGACUAUGCAAAUUAGUAAAUUGUGAUAUUAUUCUGACUUUAUUGACUUGUAUUAAUAGCUGUAGAAGUGUGGUAAAUAUUCUUAUAUGUGCAACACAUGUUGAGAAACAACUGAAAUAAAAACUAGACUGAAGCUAACAGCCACUAACCAGCAGCCAAUAAGACAAUUCAUCAAAGUACUGAGAGUACUCAGACGGAAUACAAAACAUUAGCAAACAAUCGAUUAAAAUUGAUAAUUUUUCAAACAAUUAAUAAAUACUUUUCUUUUUUUUAUCAAGUUUGAUUCUUGAAGACAGUUGGGUUUACUUGAAAAUUUCUAAUGUUGUGCCAUAUACAUGUAGGGUCAUAAUGAAGAUUGAUAACAACUUAAAUAAUUGAACAUAACACCAGUUAGGGGACCCCUUGGAUUAUCAUUCCCUGCCCCCCGUUGUGGUUGUAGGGGUACCACGUGGGGUUCCCCGAGAGUGGGACCACGUUUCAGAUCUUUCUAAUGAUUAAAUUUGGGGUGAUCGAAUGAGUUCUCCCAGUACGAUGAUGAAUACGGGCUUAUUGACUGCUGGUUAGUGGCUACUAGCUUCAACCUAGUCAAAUCAAAA